Zingiber officinale is the source of this 329-nucleotide long non-coding RNA. RefSeq lists it as uncharacterized. The record is from RefSeq and is a predicted model, not a curated record. Lineage: Eukaryota; Viridiplantae; Streptophyta; Magnoliopsida; Zingiberales; Zingiberaceae. The transcript is spliced from 3 exons.
AGAGUAUGGGCAUGGCAGGAAUGCUAGACGAGAUAAUUAACUAUGUACAAUCACUGCAGAACCAAAUCGAGUUUCUUUCUCUGAAACUUCUAGCUGCAUGCUCCGUCAAUGACCAUCAUUGCCUCGACAUGGAGGCCAUUGCAGCACCCCAGGGUGGUAAUGAGCUGUUGGUGGCAAGGGAUGAGUACUACGGCACUGGAAACAGCAGUUUCUCUGUUACCAUGCCAUUUUAAUUAUACUCUUUGGGUAAUUACAUACAAUUCUGUGACUUUGUGCAUGGAUUAUUUCUCAUGCACUUGAGAGGAUAGCGUAGAAAUAAAUGAAUAAUG